GGGUAAGGGCUUGAGAUUACCUCGAGGGGAAGGUGUUAGGCACCCCUCAAGAUCCACUAGUGUGGUUCCCGGUCGUGCUUAGUUGUGACUUUAAGAAAAGUAGGAAUAAACAAGCAAAGUUGGCACACAGGAAGUAUAAACAAGUUGGAAAUUUUGAAGAAGAAAGACACAGGUGAUUUUGAAAAGAGAAAGCUUAGUUGAAGAAAACAUUAAUUUAAGAAAAAACAUCAAUAAAUAAAGAAGGAGAAAAGGGGUCCUAGGUUUAAAUAUAAUAUGGAUCACUUUGGUGCAAUACCCAACAAUCAUUCUCACACGAGAUAUUAGUACACCAGUAAUCAUAUCCAUAUUCUACCCUUCCCAUCCAGUUAAG
Molecule: long non-coding RNA, 370 nt
Filed under: Nicotiana benthamiana
Lineage: Eukaryota; Viridiplantae; Streptophyta; Magnoliopsida; Solanales; Solanaceae
Description: long non-coding RNA (NBEN_LNC039928)
Source: RNAcentral